GUAAUGCCGGAUGCUCCAUCACACCGCAUGGUGUGUUGGGAAAGCCUUUGCGGCAUGGGAUGGGGUCGCGUCCUAUCAGCUUGAUGGCGGGGUAACGGCCCACCAUGGCUUCGACGGGUAGCCGGCCUGAGAGGGCGACCGGCCACAUUGGGACUGAGAUACGGCCCAGACUCCUACGGGAGGCAGCAGUGGGGAAUAUUGCACAAUGGGCGCAAGCCUGAUGCAGCGACGCCGCGUGAGGGAUGGAGGCCUUCGGGUUGUAAACCUCUUUUGUUAGGGAGCAAGGCAUUUUGUGUUGAGUGUACCUUUCGAAUAAGCACCGGCUAACUACGUGCCAGCAGCCGCGGUAAUACGUAGGGUGCAAGCGUUAUCCGGAAUUAUUGGGCGUAAAGGGCUCGUAGGCGGUUCGUCGCGUCCGGUGUGAAAGUCCAUCGCUUAACGGUGGAUCCGCGCCGGGUACGGGCGGGCUUGAGUGCGGUAGGGGAGACUGGAAUUCCCGGUGUAACGGUGGAAUGUGUAGAUAUCGGGAAGAACA
This 535-nucleotide ribosomal RNA is filed under the name Bifidobacterium breve. Its description in RNAcentral is "bacterial SSU rRNA". It matches the Rfam family "Bacterial small subunit ribosomal RNA", at positions 163 to 708 of the family's 1533-position model. Lineage: Bacteria; Bacillati; Actinomycetota; Actinomycetes; Bifidobacteriales; Bifidobacteriaceae. The record is from RNAcentral.